UGUAUAAUGGGUCAGCGACUUAUAUUCUGUAGCAAGGUUAACCGAAUAGGGGAGCCGAAGGGAAACCGAGUCUUAACUGGGCGUUAAGUUGCAGGGUAUAGACCCGAAACCCGGUGAUCUAGCCAUGGGCAGGUUGAAGGUUGGGUAACACUAACUGGAGGACCGAACCGACUAAUGUUGAAAAAUUAGCGGAUGACUUGUGGCUGGGGGUGAAAGGCCAAUCAAACCGGGAGAUAGCUGGUUCUCCCCGAAAGCUAUUUAGGUAGCGCCUCGUGAAUUCAUCUCCGGGGGUAGAGCACUGUUUCGGCAAGGGGGUCAUCCCGACUUACCAACCCGAUGCAAACUGCGAAUACCGGAGAAUGUUAUCACGGGAGACACACGGCGGGUGCUAACGUCCGUCGUGAAGAGGGAAACAACCCAGACCGCCAGCUAAGGUCCCAAAGUCAUGGUUAAGUGGGAAACGAUGUGGGAAGGCCCAGACAGCCAGGAUGUUGGCUUAGAAGCAGCCAUCAUUUAAAGAAAGCGUAAUAGCUCACUGGUCGAGUCGGCCUGCGC
This 555-nucleotide ribosomal RNA is filed under the name Escherichia coli. RNAcentral's name for it is "partial 23S ribosomal RNA". It matches the Rfam family "Bacterial large subunit ribosomal RNA", at positions 609 to 1164 of the family's 2925-position model. Lineage: Bacteria; Pseudomonadati; Pseudomonadota; Gammaproteobacteria; Enterobacterales; Enterobacteriaceae. The record is from RNAcentral.